This 642-nucleotide long non-coding RNA is filed under the name Rattus norvegicus (Norway rat). RNAcentral's name for it is "long non-coding RNA NONRATT005033". Lineage: Eukaryota; Metazoa; Chordata; Mammalia; Rodentia; Muridae. The record is from RNAcentral.
AGGAAGAGCCUGAGUGAUUCCAAGCCCAGGAUGGAGGUGUGCCCUUAUUGUAAGAAGCCAUUUAAGCGAUUAAAAUCCCACUUGCCGCACUGUAAAAUGACAGGAUCAUCCAUACCCGCUGAUCAAAAAGUUUCUCAGUCCAAGACAGCGACACUUACUAAAAAAGAGAAGAGGCCCACCAGAGACUUAACCAGAGCUGAAGAGAAGGAGCUAGAGAGAGAGGGUCCGAAAAGAACUGUGAAAGUGGAAACCAGCCAAGCAGAGUGGACAACUGCAGCCUCUCCGCUUCCAGAGGGUGCCUCGGAAGGCACCCAUACAACAAAAGCAGGAGAAACCAAAGAGAAAAAGCUGCUCUCCUUCCGAGUACUCAGGCGCACCAAGCCAGAGGUGACUCUGCAGAGAGUCACAGCCCCUCAGUCUCCUCCCAAGAUAGAAUCCACCAGAGAUGUGUCUGAGUCCAAGGGAAGUCCACGCUGCCCCUCAGAGACAGAAGCAUCUUCACUGGUCAGCUCAAGGGAACCUUUUUCUACUAAGCAAGACAGAGAGCAUGUGUCAGCUCAGCCUCAUGCUAAACCAGCCACUUCUGCCAGGCUCAGAUUGGACACAGCGGAUCCCCAAAGGCAGAAGCUUCUGGUAAAAUUA